This 253-nucleotide ribosomal RNA is filed under the name uncultured bacterium. RNAcentral's name for it is "partial 16S ribosomal RNA". It matches the Rfam family "Bacterial small subunit ribosomal RNA", at positions 524 to 776 of the family's 1533-position model. The record is from RNAcentral.
UACGUAGGGUGCAAGCGUUGUCCGGAAUUAUUGGGCGUAAAGAGCUCGUAGGCGGUCUGUUGCGUCGGCUGUGAAAACCCGGGGCUCAACCCCGGGCCUGCAGCCGAUACGGGCAGACUAGAGUUCGGCAGGGGAGACUGGAAUUCCUGGUGUAGCGGUGAAAUGCGCAGAUAUCAGGAAGAACACCCGUGGCUAAGGCGGCUCUCUAGUACGGUACUGACGCUGAGACGCGAAAGCGUGGGGAGCGAACAGG